Mastomys coucha (southern multimammate mouse) is the source of this 552-nucleotide long non-coding RNA. RefSeq lists it as uncharacterized. The record is from RefSeq and is a predicted model, not a curated record. The transcript is spliced from 2 exons. NCBI's taxonomy places the organism in Eukaryota, Metazoa, Chordata, Mammalia, Rodentia, Muridae.
UGAAACUGCCGAAGAAACAGCAAUCGUUGCUGUAGCGACUGUAGCAGUCCAGUGCUCAACCACAGAUGGAGGAAAAUAGACAUCUACGGCACCCACUCUUCCAUGGUGAGAGCAGCAGAAGGAAAAAGACCUCACCCUUCUGAUGUCAAUGGCAGAAGGUCAAACGCAUCCCAGCACAUCGAGGGAGAUAAGAGGAAUCUGUCUGGCAGAGAAACCCAGAAAAUUGUACCAAGCUGUUCACCAUCAAAAUAAGGCAUAUCCGAAGAGCAGUUGAGAUGAAAAAAAAGUGUAUUGGGGAAAGGAAAACCAGAAUCACGUAGCAGAAUGCAGAAAAAUCUGCUGGCAAGAAGCCUGGUCAGAAAAGAUAGGCAGUGCUCAGCUAUCACUUCCAAGCCACUGGCUGAGGGAGCGGGGGUUGAUUUUAGGGGAUGGAUCUUAAGAACAUCAAAAGCAGGGACUAGAUGUCUGAGGCAGACCCAGAAAAGCAUUUGAGGACAGCCCAAAUCCUUGAUCAGCUGCAAGUAUAUUAAAUGCUGUCAGAGUUUCACCCUG